GGGCUAUUAUUUAUAUACCGCUCUAUCUCCCCGAGGGGACUCAGAGCGGUUUCCAAAUAACAUCAUCAAUACAUACGGAGUAAACAAUAUAACCAUAAGAUUAACAAAACAAUAUAAGCAUAAAAAUUGUCGCCAAUACACACAUAUAUUAAAAGUAAUCCUGCCUGUUUAAAAGGCCGGGCCGAGAUUAGUGCAAGCUCAAAAAUUCUGGGGGGCUAUCUGAUUAUUAAUUUGGGACAGAGCAGGAUCUGAAAUUAAUUCACUUAAUUUGAGAUCCUGCUUUGAGCUCACACAUUUUGGGUCCUGUCUGGAUGGGCCCUCAGACUUUGUGUGACUUCUCCAUGGUCACUCAAUGGGUUCUGUGGCUGAGUGAAACCUAUUAAACCAUGACAGUUAUUUAAAAACAGUGUUAGACUCUGUAUGAUGAAGUUGUUUGGGGGGCUUGAAUUUCUCAUGGAUCUUGUCUCAUUCAGCCAUAAUGCCAAACUAUAUAAAAAUAUAACCCACAGUGUUGUGUUAUUCAAAGUUUUAAUGUAUUGUCGAAGGCUUAUGCAAAGUUUUAAGUUUUUAACAAUUCAGAGUUUCAUUUUAGCCAUGGAAUGGUUUUGAAUAUCUGAAUGUUUGCAGGAAGAGCAAACUACAGGGUUGCAAGAAAAUGAGGGUCAUUCAAAACUAUUGAAAAUGUGAACUUUUAACUACCUCCCAUAAUGAGGAAGAAGGAUGAGAGUUUCGGACAGUGUCUUAGCAAGACAGAGAAAAAUACUCCUGGAGUCAUAGGGGACAAUUUUCUCUAUCUAGGACUUUGAGGAGAUGCACUGUGCUCAAGAAAGCUCUUUCCUCACUCUAAAUUAGGGGAAAAGCUAAUCAGAAGUGACUAGAAGUCGCUUUUAGUUUUGAAAAGCAUGUGUUUGUGGCAAAAGUUACUAUUUCCAGGAUUCCUGGGGGAGCACCAAACUUAAAAAAAAAACCCUCUUCCCUCAGAAUCCUGAAAAAACAAAACAGCAAAUCAAAAUUGAUUGGAAAUCUGCUUUGAGGUUUUAGAGAAAGAAGAGAGGCUUAAAGAUGCUGUAUGUAUUUGGAGUUGUGGUCUUUGUAAGCAGUAUGCCAGCAAGCAAGGAUUUCACUGGAAAUUGUUUUAGAUAAGUUCUUUAUGUUAUGAACAUAAGUAAUAAGAGAUGCCAGAAUUUUUGAUGGUGCUCUUUGAAUUCAAUUGGGUUUAAUUAAGUUUUUGUUGCAGCUUAUAUUUUGUGUCAAACCAUGUCUCUACAUAAAUUAUAUGUGUAGAUCUAUGUAGAACAGGACAAAAUUGAAAGAUAGCAAAAAUUGUUAUUGUUUCCACUACAUUCUUACUUAAAUAACUUUUAUCCUUAGCUUUAAAAUGAUGCCUACAGAAGUCACAUCCUGUUAAUUGAUAUACAGUAGAACCUUGACUUACGAGUGUCCCA
Molecule: non-coding RNA, 1445 nt
Organism: Anolis sagrei ordinatus
Lineage: Eukaryota; Metazoa; Chordata; Lepidosauria; Squamata; Anolidae
Source: RefSeq, a predicted model, not a curated record